GUGUGGAAUGGAACCCGGCACGGAGGGGAGGGAAAGAGAGCAGCUGGCACGGCGGUGCCCGCCAGGCAAACGGAGGCAGAGAAGGCCAGGGCAAGAGAUUGGCAUCCGAGCGGAGGCUGGCAGGGUCUUUCGGGACAUUUGGGGAGCCUUGGCACCGUGCCCCCCCUUCUCCGGCCUCUACAAAGAGACUUAGGUACCAGGCGGCAGCUGGCGAGAAGCGGGCAGGGUGGGGAAGAGGGCGUCCAUGCAACGGUGGAGAGCUCAAAGCGCCGACGGGCAUCGGAGGAGGCGCCCCGGCAGUAGCGCAGGGACUCAGAUUGAGGGAUGGCACAAGGCAGGGAAGGAAACGAGACGCAGGCGUAGAUCGCACUGGGAAAGCAACCCCGGGCACAGGCACACAAGGUGGGCAUCGCCGGAGCUGUGGUUUGGCGAAAGCUGCUUGGCUGUGCCCCCGAGAAUUGGGCCUUGGCAUCCCUAAUCUAUUCUGCCUGCACCGUCUCCCCUUCCCCCACGGUCCUUCUCCUUGGCACCCCUGUGCCCGCCUGAACUUGGCACCGAGUCAAAGCUGGUGGGGGCUGGCAUCGCCCCGGCUGGCACGUGAGUAGAAUCCCUGAGGUUAGCACUCUGCAAAGAAGAGGACGGAAGCGAGGCAUUGUUGCCAACGCCGCUGGCCGGCCACCACCUUGGCAUCCCUAUGGGCACGGGAAAAGAAAUUGCUUGGCGUCGUUCCUUCCUUCCUUUCCUUCCUUCCUUCCUUCCUUCCUAUUAUCAGCCCUCCCUUUUCCUUCCUUCCUCACUAUCAUCCCUCCAUUUUUCUUCCUUCUCUGCCUUUUUCAUUCACAUUCUUCUUUCCUUCCUUCCUCACUCAUUCUUCUUUCUUUCCUUCCUUCCUUCCGUCCAUCUUUUCCUUCCUUCCUAAGCCUCCUUUCAUUUUUCCUCCCUAUCUUUUUCCUCCCUCCUUCCUUCCUUCCUUCCCUCCCUCAUUCAUUCAUUCAUUCAUUCAUUCAUUCCCUCCAUCUUUUCCUUCCUUCCUAGCCUCCUCCUUUCAUUUUUCCUCCCUAUCUUUUCCCUUCCUCCCUCCCUCCCUCCCCUUCUCCAGACGUUAUCCCUCUUUUCCCUUUUCCCCGCCUGGGACUACCGAUACCUACGGAAUCCGGUCAAGGAGCUCAAAGCAUCUGCCAGCUUCUUCUUCGCGGAUCAUGGAGGUGUUAAAGUAUCCGGAAGAGGUUCCUUCCCUAGAAAUGGCGAGAACAAGACGGGAAGAAAGAAUAAAUUGAAAAAAAGGAGGAGUCCUCGCUUUGCAACAGUUCAUUUAGAGACCCUUCGAACUUACGAAGGGACUUGUGACCAAUUUUCACACCUACGACCGUUGCAGCGUCCCCAAGUUUCACGUGAUUGACAUUCGGAUGCUUGACAAGUGACUCCCAUUUCUGACGGUCCCCUUUUUGCGACCUUCCGAUGAGCAAAGUCAAGAUGGGGGGGGGGGGAGAAGCCGGAUUCACUUAACAACCGGGCGACUAACAACCACCACAACGAUUCGCUUAACAACCGGGUUCCUCAGGUAACGAAUACAGGAAUUCCCUGAACAACCGGAUUGCUAAUUUAACAACGGCUGGGAUCCACUUGACAAAUUGGCAAGGAAAACCGUACAACGGGGCAUACCGAUGUCUCGCUUAGCGACAUAAAUGCUGGGCUCCGUUGCGGUCGUACAUUGAGGACCGCCUGCGGCAGGCGGUUUUCCAGUGUUCUGAAAGUACCGUUCCCCCUCAUCUAAGACCGGACAUUCAAAAGGAUGCCAAAAAAGAGGAGGAAGAAGAAAAAAGGAAAAGAGAGAGAGAGAGAGAGAAAAUGGGAAUUCCACCCUACAGGCUGUGAAAAACCUGAAUGACGCACGAUCCAGGCCUUUAUCCUCGUCAGCGACUAAUUAAACUCUCAACCCGA
This is a long non-coding RNA of Pantherophis guttatus, 1941 nucleotides long. RefSeq lists it as uncharacterized. Lineage: Eukaryota; Metazoa; Chordata; Lepidosauria; Squamata; Colubridae. The record is from RefSeq and is a predicted model, not a curated record.